GCAAGUCGAGCGAACAAUCAUUUAAAGUUUACUUUUUAUGUGAGUUAGCGGCGAACGGGUGAGUAACGCGUAAACAAUCUGCCUUUUGGUCCGGGAUAACAUCUGGAAACGGGUGCUAACACUGGAUAUUAUAUCUAGGUCGCAUGGCCAGGAUAUGAAACGGGGCUUUUAGCUAGGCCAAGAGAUGAGUUUGCGUCCCAUUAGCUAGUUGGUAGGGUAAAAGCCUACCAAGGCGACGAUGGGUAGCCGGCCUGAGAGGGUGAUC
Molecule: ribosomal RNA, 265 nt
Filed under: uncultured bacterium
Lineage: Bacteria
Description: partial 16S ribosomal RNA
Rfam family: Bacterial small subunit ribosomal RNA
Source: RNAcentral